This is a long non-coding RNA of Mustela lutreola (European mink), 542 nucleotides long. RefSeq lists it as uncharacterized. NCBI's taxonomy places the organism in Eukaryota, Metazoa, Chordata, Mammalia, Carnivora, Mustelidae. The record is from RefSeq and is a predicted model, not a curated record. The transcript has 2 exons.
CCCCCCGCCUCUGGCUCCCCCCGCCCCUCCCCGCGGGCCCCGCCGCUUCCGCUCGUCCUGGGGCCGCCCGGGGAACCAGGACGUGCCGCCUGGGCUCUACGUAGCCGGCCGCCCUUGGUGGGGCCCACAGCGUCUGCACAUGAGGUCACGAGUUGGCGACUGGACUGGGGCCAGGUCACCCCCUUGUUAUCCCUCAACCCAGGGGCUCCCUGCUGCUGUGGGUCUGGGAGCUGAGGUGGCCCUGGAGGCCCAGGUCCAGCUUCUGCCAGGGACUCGGGCCCUCACUCGGUCCCCACCAGCCGCAACUCUGCAAAGUCCCUCCUAGAGCCCUGGACUAAGUCCAGCCAGUCCCCCUGGCACGGAUGGGGAAACUGAGGCCCAGGGAAGCAGAGUGGCUGGCCUUUGGCCACAGAGGAAGGUAGAAACGAUGACGGUGGGGUGAGCGGUGAUGGGGCCCCAACCCUGGAGACACCCAUGCACUGUCCUGGAAUGAUCGGACAGAUUGAGCACCUACUGUGUACAUUAAGAGACGACACAGUCAG